RNAcentral lists this small nuclear RNA (182 nucleotides) under Pelodiscus sinensis (Chinese soft-shelled turtle). RNAcentral's name for it is "U2 spliceosomal RNA (ENSPSIG00000019467.1)". It matches the Rfam family "U2 spliceosomal RNA". From Rfam's summary of the family: U2 is a small nuclear RNA (snRNA) component of the spliceosome (involved in pre-mRNA splicing). Lineage: Eukaryota; Metazoa; Chordata; Testudines; Trionychidae. The record is from Rfam by way of RNAcentral.
AUCUGUGCUCGACCUUUUGGCGAAGAUCAAGUAUAGUCAUGUGCUGCUCAGUCAAACCUGUCCUUUUGGAAUCCCGUCCUUGCUGUGCAUUGAUUGCAAUAUUUUUUAAAUAAGGGGCUGGAUUCAUCCACCCAUAUGUAUCGACCUGGUAUUACAGUACCUCCAGGACUGGUGCACGAAUA